Dicentrarchus labrax (European seabass) is the source of this 3355-nucleotide long non-coding RNA. RefSeq lists it as uncharacterized. The record is from RefSeq and is a predicted model, not a curated record. Lineage: Eukaryota; Metazoa; Chordata; Actinopteri; Moronidae. The transcript is spliced from 4 exons.
UCAGCAUGUAAAAGUAUUAGCACCAAACUCCGACUUUAAUUGAGGCUGAUAAGAAUGUCAUUAUUUUUACAGGCAUGUCAUAAACCAGAGUUUUGGCCAAUUUAAAACUCUGAAAUGAUGAUUGAUGGCACCAGAUAAAAAAGUCAUAACUGUUUCGACCAGAUUUCAUGACAAUCCAUCUAAAUGUUGAGAUCAUUUAGUCUGGGCCAAAGAGGUGGAGCGACCAAAGAGACCAACAUUUAUACACCCCGAGAUCCAUAGGGCUAGCAUGGCUAAAAAUCCCGCUUUCCGACCCAUUUAAUGACAUUGAAACAUCUUGACCUGCCAAACCAAACUUGACCUACUUGGAUGCAGGAGUGUUUGAGAGGCAGGCACGAGAGAAAGGCAAAACCAGCCUGCCGUGUUAUCUUAUUUGCUCUUUGAUAACAAUGUUAAACAGUAAUAGAGAUACACUUUGGUGCAUAGCAGGACUCUUUAUCAUACUAAAUUUACAAAAACAGUUUAUACUUGAAUGCUUUUAUAAGGAAGGAGAGGGGGAGCACAUCAAAAAGCCUAAGAUGAAGGCAUGUUGGUUUGAUUACUGACCGAGACCACGGUGAAGGCACAGUUUAUUACGCCUGCUCCUAUGGUGGCAUAGACUGGACUCUGGACUCCUGCCUUUAUGAAGAUACUGGUGGAGUAGUAGAAAAUCUGGCCAGAGGGACAGCUGCUGGGAGAGCUGCAGCAGGAUAGAAAUGAUGAUGGGCUGGCGGUACAGUGGAGAGCGAAAGAGCUCCAGGAUGGACACCUUCCUCUCCAUUUCCAUCUUCCUCUUCUCCUCCUUCAUCUCUGCCAGCAUGUCGCCGACCUCCUGCCUACCCGUCAGCCUCCUCAGGCCUGCACAAAGGAGGCGUGUAAGGAGUUGAGUAUAAGUAAGACUGAAGGAGUUGAUUCCCCCCCCCACAAAUAUCUUCAGAAACAAGUGAGCCAGGAGGAAAAUAAUAGACCUUCAAAAUACUGCAUGAGGUGACUGGACUGAUUGAAGAUAUCAUUUUUGAAGAAAUCUGUUAUACAAACUAAAGCUGCUAACUUUCUGUGUGCUGGACCACUUUAGCUUUGACCUUAAAGAUGUCUUCAGACCAGUAUGAAGUACUCACCUCUCUUGGCCUGGUGCUCCUGGCAGCGGACGAUGUAGAGGAAGCGGGGGCUCUCGGGGCAGAAAGGCAGAAAUGACAUCUGAAGUACAGUCGGCACGACAGUUAAACCCAACAGGACUGGCCACAACUCCUGACUGCCCAGUAACACCUCCAGACCCAGGAUCUGCACACGGAGAAGGAUCAGGUGUAAAGACAUACGAUUUUAAAAUAUAUAAAACAUUUCCAGAAAAGGCUAUUACAAAAUAUUUAUAUCAAACAUUAAACUCCAGGGAACAUGGUGGUUCUAGACAUUUUCUCAUAAAUUAACCACAUAUUUUAAUUUCAGACUAUUUUUGAAGAUUCUUUCUGAUGAUUUUAACAUUUUAACUUUGUCCAAACAGAAGAGAGGUUUUAUUAUCUGCGCUGUCACACCUGUGCUAUGAGAAUACCAGUGACUAUAGCCAGUUGGUGCAGCGUGCCCAGUGCCCCUCGCAGACUUGUGGGAGCUAUCUCUCCCACAUACAUCGGUGUCAAGCCUGAUGCUAAUCCUGCACAGAGGAAAAGUUGGAUAAGAGACAGGAACUUUCUACCAGAUGUGAAGGAGAUGACUGACUGCAAAACAGCAAAAGAAUACAGGCUCACCACAGUAGGCACCGAUGAUAAAGCGUCCGAGGAUCAUCAUUUCAAAGGAGCGGCAGAGCUUGGACAACGCCAUCAGACUUCCACCAAUGAAGGCGAACAAGUUGUUUAUGAGCAUGGCUUUCCUCCUGGAAAAGAUGUUACACAUUCUCACUCUGAAUCCCAUCUAAUAUAUAUAUAUAUUUCAUUAACCAUGAGUCUCAGAUAUCAUCAUCAUCCAGGAGGUUAACUGUAGCUCAAACACUGUUAAUAGUAAAUUAACUUGAGAAUCAGAUUUCAUUGCUGAAGGGGCUUUUUGUAAAAAUAACACAAGAUGCAUAAAUAUCCUGAGAAAGAGGCUGGUGUGUUCAUAGUAAGUUUGACAAUGAUAUUUCACUUCACGGAUUAUUUCUGUCUAGCUCUGCUUAUAUGUGCACAACACAUGGAAAGAUAUUUCAGCCUCCAGAGGGCAGUGUCAUACAAAAACAUGUAAGGCUUUAGUUAGUUGCUUCCUUAAUCCCUGACUGACAUUAGUAGUUAUCCUUAAACAACCUUAAAGCCUUGAGUGUCUGCAGUGCAGUGUAAUUUGCUAUUAUUCAGUUUCAUUUAGAGUUAUUUUUUAGAUUAUGAUCAUUAUGAGUCGUGCCAAAAAGUUAUGCUAAUGUUGUGCAACAAAUUGACAGAGGCAGGCAUUUGGUUCAAACCAGGGGCCACCUAUACCAAAUAGCUUCAUCAAGAUAUUAAAUUAAAGAUCCCCCAGACAUGUUAUACAACAUGUAAUUUAAAAUUCCAAAAAUGGCAUCUGCUCUUUCUAUCCCACUAAAAAACCCAGAAUCCACAGAUAAAUUAUAUAUAUUUGAAUAUUUAUUAAUAAUCUUCAUACAGAUCAUUUUUUAUUUCAGAAUUAACUGCUGGACUCAAGAUGUCUCCUACUUAAAGUCCAAUCUCAGUGUAUGUGCAUUACAUGUUUCAAGUUUCCACACACUUGUGUAAGUUGCAUUUUGGAUCCUGAUUGGCUUCCAGACCACUGACACUUUAUAUAAUUUAGUUGUGAAGACAGAAAAUCUUCAAUCAAUUAGACUGAGAUUUAAGGUAAGAAGAGAGAAACUUUCCACUUUCAGCAGAGGAAUGUGAGCAACUCUGCACAUACAUCAUUCUGCACAGUGAAGUUCAAACACCAAAGGGAAGUAACAAUACAUUUGUUUAGGAGGACCUUGUCCUGAGCGCACCCAUGGUGGAACGCUGCCACAAACCGACCCUCACUCCUCCUCACACCCCUCCUGACCCAGUGCUGCCAGCUCUGUAAAGAUCCACUUUCAGCCAGUGGAAGCUGUGGGCUGCAGUCCAGCUCAGGUUACAGAUGGAAACUGGGUCGACACGGAACAUUGUGGGCAGAGUUUCCCCCUUAGUGACAAGAGACUGGAGGUUGGGAUCCAUUUUGGAUCCAUGCAGAGGUGGAAAGGAGACGUUGCUGUAUGAUGACUCAUAGAGUUGGCCACUGACAUAUUUCUUAAUUAUUGUCUAAGCAAAUGGUUUUUUUUUUGUCCUGUUAACUGCCUCAUAACACCUUAGAUUUAUUUUGUGACCACCCACGGGUGGGUUAUAAAACUUUUUAAAAAAUG